RNAcentral lists this long non-coding RNA (227 nucleotides) under Elaeis guineensis (African oil palm). Its description in RNAcentral is "long non-coding RNA (EGUI_LNC015068)". Lineage: Eukaryota; Viridiplantae; Streptophyta; Magnoliopsida; Arecales; Arecaceae. The record is from RNAcentral.
CCACCGAACAAAAAUCUCCUCCCUCUCUACUCUCUCAACCACAAAAAUCUAUUAAAAUCUCUCUUCCCAUCAAUUUUUUUCAUUCAAAUCAUCCUCUUAGAAACUAAAUCUCUUUUUCUUCUCUUCCUCAUUUGGACGGAUCAAGCUUACCCUAGCUUCAAACCCUUAUCUCCAAACCGGUGGUCUAUCUCCCUAAAAAUUUUUAUUUUUUCUCUAAAAUCUUUUCC